AUGUCUACUCAGAUCUUUUGCCCAUUUUCAAUUGGGUUGUUGGCUUUUUUGCUCUUGAGUUGUAUAAGUUGCUUGUACAUUUUAAAGAUUAAGCCCUCAUCAGUUGCAUCAUUUGAAACUAUUUUCUCCCAUUCUGUAAGUUGUCUUUUUGUUUUCUUUUUGGUUUUCUUUGCUGUACAAAAGCUUGUCGGGGGAGUUCCCGUCGUGGUGCAGUGGUUAACGACUCUGACUAGGAACCAUGAGGUUUCAGGUUCGAUCCCUGGCCUUGCUCAGUGGGUUAAGGAUAUGGCAUUGCUGUUAGCUGUGGUGUGGUCACAGAUGUGGCUCAGAUCCCAUGUUGUUGUGGCUCUGGCGUAGACCAGCAGCUAUAGCUCUGAUUAGACCCCUAGCCUGGGAAUCUCCAUAUGCCAUGGGAGCGACCCUAGAAAAGGCAAAAAAAAAAAAAAAAAAAAAAAGCUGGAAUGAUAGAUUCCCAUGUAGAAAAAAUAGAAACAGAAAGACAGGCCCCAGACUGAUGGUCAGAGUUGAAAUUUUCUCCCGCGAGUUCCCAACAUUCCACAACCACAGUACCUUCGUUUUGAAAAGAAGGGUUUUAUUUGAUCACGGCUUCUAACAAUUCCUCUAUCUUAGACUCUGUUAACCUCUUUUUUUUUUUUUUUUUUGACUCUGUUACCUCUGAUUGUCUCAACAUACAUUUAAGCAAUUGAAUAUAAUAUUUAGUUUGCAGUGAUUGAUUCUGCCCCAUUGUUAUCCUGGUUUAAACUUUUUUUUUUUUUGGCUUUUUGUCUUUUUGCCUUUAUUCUAGGACUGCUCCUGCAGCAUAUGGGGGUUCCCAGGCUGGGGUCUAAUCGGAGCUGUAGCCACCGGCCUACGCCACAGCCACAGCAACUCAGGAUCUGAGCCAUGUCUGUGACCUAUACCACAGCUCAUGGCAACGCCGGAUCCUCAGCCCACUGAGCAAGGCCAGGGAUCAAACCCACAAGGAACCCUCAGAUUGCCUUGUCAGAUUCGUUAACCACUAAGCUACAACGGGAACUCCUGGUUUAAACUCUCUACUUGCCUACUCACAGUCACUACUCUCUCGAGUGCAAGGCUACCGUUUCCCCGACUGUAGUUUCACCUCUUCCUGCUCAAGGCAGACCUUCUCUUCUAGCCCCAGGUUGGGCGCCACUCCGUCGCAUGCAGAGCUGCAGGGAAAUGGCGAAUCCUGGAAGAGCGACAGCACAAGUAUACAAAACACACGAGACUACUUUACAUCUAGGAAGUGGGGGACCAGGGAGUUCCUGUCUUGGUGCAGUGGAAACGAAUCCCUGGCCUUGCCGAGUGGGUUAAGGAUCCAGUGUUGCCAAGAACUGUA
RNAcentral lists this long non-coding RNA (1357 nucleotides) under Sus scrofa (pig). Its description in RNAcentral is "lncRNA (ENSSSCG00035078273.1)". Lineage: Eukaryota; Metazoa; Chordata; Mammalia; Artiodactyla; Suidae. The record is from RNAcentral.